CCUUUGGCCAGACAAAGAGCGAGAACUGCAAUGCGUGCAUCUGCACCGCCAGCGGCGAGUGGGCCUGCGCCGGGAUGAAGUGGCGCGCCAAGAGAGAUAUUAGCUGUGAACCAGGCGUGGAAUUCAUGGAUCAGUGUAACUCCUGCAAAUGCGGACCAGAUGGGUUGUCAGCCUCAUGUACCGCCAACGCCUGCAAUAACUAUUAGACAACAGGGUUCCUUCCAGUAUCAGCCAACUGGUGACGAAAUUCCUCAUGUUAUAAUACUUUUGAUGGCUGAAAAAUACUAAUAUCUCCAGACGUUCUUGAGGCAGUCCAAGGACAACAUACGGCUUCCUAGUGUUCCA
Long non-coding RNA from Schistocerca cancellata (South American locust), 345 nucleotides. RefSeq lists it as uncharacterized. The transcript has 3 exons. The record is from RefSeq and is a predicted model, not a curated record. NCBI's taxonomy places the organism in Eukaryota, Metazoa, Arthropoda, Insecta, Orthoptera, Acrididae.